RNAcentral lists this ribosomal RNA (461 nucleotides) under uncultured bacterium. Its description in RNAcentral is "partial 16S ribosomal RNA". It matches the Rfam family "Bacterial small subunit ribosomal RNA", at positions 28 to 506 of the family's 1533-position model. The record is from RNAcentral.
GACGAACGCUGGCGGCGUGCUUAACACAUGCAAGUCGAACGGUAAGGCCUUUCGGGGUACACGAGUGGCGAACGGGUGAGUAACACGUGGGUGAUCUGCCCUGCACUUCGGGAUAAGCCCGGGAAACUGGGUCUAAUACCGGAUAGGACUGCGCGGUGCAUGCCGUUUGGUGGAAAGAUUUAUCGGUGCAGGAUGGGCCCGCGGCCUAUCAGCUUGUUGGUGGGGUAAUGGCCUACCAAGGCGACGACGGGUAGCCGGCCUGAGAGGGCGACCGGCCACACUGGGACUGAGACACGGCCCAGACUCCUACGGGAGGCAGCAGUGGGGAAUAUUGCACAAUGGGCGCAAGCCUGAUGCAGCGACGCCGCGUGAGGGAUGACGGCCUUCGGGUGGUAAACCUCUUUCAGCAGGGACGAAGCGUGAGUGACGGUACCUGCAGAAGAAGCACCGGCCAACUACGU